Molecule: ribosomal RNA, 274 nt
Filed under: uncultured bacterium
Lineage: Bacteria
Description: partial 16S ribosomal RNA
Rfam family: Bacterial small subunit ribosomal RNA
Source: RNAcentral
AUACGGAGGGUGCAAGCGUUAAUCGGAAUUACUGGGCGUAAAGCGUACGUAGACGGUCCGUUAAGUUAGAUGUGAAAGCCCCGGGCUUAACCUGGGAACUGCAUUUAAAACUGGCGAACUAGAGUUGAGUAGAGGGGAGUGGAAUUUCAGGUGUAGCGGUGAAAUGCGUAGAGAUCUGAAGGAACACCAGUGGCGAAGGCGACUCCCUGGACUCGAACUGACGCUGAGGUGCGAAAGCGUGGGUAGCAAACGGGAUUAGAUACCCUAGUAGUCC